This 234-nucleotide long non-coding RNA is filed under the name Pongo abelii (Sumatran orangutan). RNAcentral describes it as "lincRNA". The record is from RNAcentral. Lineage: Eukaryota; Metazoa; Chordata; Mammalia; Primates; Hominidae.
CCCUCUUCCUGCCCAACUGGAGUCACAUCACCACCAUCAGUCUUGGGACCAUAGGACUAAUCUAAUUUUAUUCUUUAAUCCUAUUUAUUUCAUUAUCUCAAAAAGCCCAACAUGGAAUAGAGAUUUCAGAGCAAGAAGAGUUUUUAUUAAUGACCUGCCGACAUCAUACAGUUCAUGAAAUGCUCUGGAUGUGUACAUGCUGAUGAUACGACCUCAGACCCAGCAAGAGCUCAG